Molecule: ribosomal RNA, 492 nt
Filed under: uncultured bacterium
Lineage: Bacteria
Description: partial 16S ribosomal RNA
Rfam family: Bacterial small subunit ribosomal RNA
Source: RNAcentral
AACGAACGCUGGCGGCAUGCCUAACACAUGCAAGUCGAACGGCAGCUCCGUGAGUGCUUGCGCUCACGGGCGGCGAGCGGGGGAAGGGUCACGUAUGUACCGGAACCUUCUCUUUCGUGGGGGAUAACGUAGGGAAAGUUACUCUCAUAAAGCAUAUGACGCACGUGGGUGGGCAGGGGAUCGUUUGGCCUUUUGCGAUUGAAUGAGCCGAUGUCGGAUUAGCUAGUUGGCGGGGUAAAGGCCAAGAAAGGCGACGAUGGGCAGCCGGUCCGAGAGCAUGGUCAGCGACACUGGAGGAGAGACAGGGUCAAGACUCCUACGCUAGGCAGCAGUGGGGAAUAUUAGGCAAUGGGGGCGAGCCUGAUCCAGCCAUACGGCGUGGGUGAAGAAGGCGUUCGGGUUGGAAAGCCCUUUUGUUGGUAGAGAAAAGCAGCAGGUUAAUACGCCGCGGUACUGACGGUACCGGGAGAAUAAGCACCGGCUAACUUCGUG